UUCCGGUUGAUCCUGCCGGAGGCCAUUGCUAUCGGAGUCCGAUUUAGCCAUGCUAGUUGCACGAGUUCAGACUCGUGGCAGAUAGCUCAGUAACACGUGGCCAAGCUACCCUAUGGAGAGGGAUAACCCCGGGAAACUGGGGCUAAUACCUCAUAACGCUCCCUCACUGGAAUGUGGGGAGCCGGAAAUGCUCCGGCGCCAUAGGAUGCGGCUGCGGUCGAUUAGGUAGACGGUGGGGUAACGGCCCACCGUGCCGAUAAUCGGUACGGGUCGUGAGAGCGAGAGCCCGGAGAUGGAUUCUGAGACAAGAAUCCAGGCCCUACGGGGCGCAGCAGGCGCGAAAACUUUACACUGCACGAAAGUGCGAUAAGGGGACUCCGAGUGUGUGGGCAUAGAGCCCACACUUUUGUGUACCGUAAGGUGGUACACGAAUAAGAGCUGGGCAGGACCGGUGCCAGCCGCCGCGGUAAUACCGGCAGCUCAAGUGAUGGCCGAUCUUAUUGGGCCUAAAGCGUCCGUAGCCGGCCGGGCAAGUCCGUUGGGAAAUCUGUUCGCUUAACGAACAGGCGUCCAGCGGAAACUGCUCGGCUUGGGACCGAAAGACCUGAGGGGUACGUCCGGGGUAGGAGUGAAAUCCUGUAAUCCUGGACGGACCGCCGAUGGGGAAACCACCUCAGGAGGACGGAUCCGACGGUGAGGGACGAAAGCUAGGGUCUCGAACCGGAUUAGAUACCCGGGUAGUCCUAGCUGUAAACGAUGUCUGCUAGGUGUGGCACAGGCUACGAGCCUGUGCUGUGCCGUAGGGAAGCCGAGAAGCAGACCGCCUGGGAAGUACGUCCGCAAGGAUGAAACUUAAAGGAAUUGGCGGGGGAGCACUACAACCGGAGGAGCCUGCGGUUUAAUUGGAUUCAACGCCGGG
This 919-nucleotide ribosomal RNA is filed under the name uncultured archaeon. Its description in RNAcentral is "bacterial SSU rRNA". It matches the Rfam family "Archaeal small subunit ribosomal RNA", at positions 1 to 922 of the family's 1478-position model. The record is from RNAcentral.